CGUGGUUCUAGUAUGAAUCUGAGGUUUCAAUCGAUUUAUAGGAUCUUAACAAGAAAAUUCCUAGCAAUAAGAUUGCGUUACAUACAAAUAAAAAUACUAAAUCAAGGAAAAAAAUGGGUAAAAAUNNNNNNNNNNNAUUCAAGAGGCCUGUAACAAUCAAUACCAAGAGAUGAAUGAGCCGACUUGAUAUUUUGGCGUUAUAACCACAAAGAAGAGUUUUCGGGUUUUUCUUUUUUCGUAUCAUCAUCUUCAGAGAAAACUGUUGAAUCAUAGGAUUAAGAAGUUUAUAUUACACAUAUCUGUUUCAACUGGUAUUUGGGUGGUUCUGUUUGAGCCGUACGAGAUGAAAUUCUCAUAUACGGUUCUCGGAGGGGGAGUCCUUUUGGUUUACCUAUCUCAAUAAAGUCUAUGAUUGGUUCGAAGAACGUCUCGAGAUUCAGGCAAUUGCAGAUGAUAUAACUAGUAAAUAUGUUCCUCCCCAUGUCAACAUAUUUUAUUGUUUAGGAGGAAUUACGCUUACUUGUUUUUUAGUACAAGUAGCUACGGGGUUUGCUAUGACUUUUUACUACCGUCCGACCGUUACUGAGGCUUUUGCUUCUGUUCAAUACAUAAUGACUGAGGCUAACUUUGGUUGGUUAAUCCGCUCAG
This 648-nucleotide unclassified non-coding RNA is filed under the name Hevea brasiliensis (rubber tree). The record is from RNAcentral. Lineage: Eukaryota; Viridiplantae; Streptophyta; Magnoliopsida; Malpighiales; Euphorbiaceae.